UACGUAGGGGCCGAGCGUUGUCCGGAGUUACUGGGCGUAAAGCGCGCGCAGGCGGCUCGUCAAGCCUGACGUGAGAGCCCCCGGCUCAACCCUGGAAGGCCGGUGGAAACUGUCGGGCUAGAGUCCGGAAGAGGCGAGUGGAAUUCCCGGUGUAGCGGUGAAAUGCGCAGAUAUCGGGAGGAACACCAAUGGCGAAGGCAGCUCGCUGGGACGGUACUGACGCUGAGACGCGAAAGCGUGGGGAGCAAACAGG
Molecule: ribosomal RNA, 253 nt
Filed under: uncultured bacterium
Lineage: Bacteria
Description: partial 16S ribosomal RNA
Rfam family: Bacterial small subunit ribosomal RNA
Source: RNAcentral